AGAAAUGACUAAAUAUGAAAUACUUGGGUGCUGUUAUGUUACCACUAACAUAACAUCUGUCUGUCAGAAUCAAUUUCUUCAAUAGAAAAAAAAAAUGGCGAUGAGAAAAUAAUUCCUUGUUUCUUUUCCGCCGUAAUAUCUCAUCGCCCGUCGAAUCGGAAGGGAGAAGUGCAGGGGCAUAACCGCCGCCAAUAAAUUCGACUAUGGGUCCUCAUUGCCUCUCUUCCUCCCACUCUUACCGCCUCUAUUUCUGUUCUGCCGCCAGAAGAUCAAUACUGGGUUAGCCAAUUGGUGCAUCCCUUCAUCACUAGUGGUUCUGCUCAACUAAUUUGUGGUGUACUUAUCAGCAUCAUGGUAGAGGUUUCCUUUUUGCUUGCUUUUCUUUUUGUAUAACUUCUUUAGUUUCUGAUUGAGGAAUGCUAACACUUUCUAUACUAUUGGUUGAAAUUUAUAGGAAAUUACAAAUUUUGGUAGGUCUCACUUCUAAAUCAGGUGAGAGGCUUGGUAAAUGAGGUGGAGGGUGGGACUUACCAGAGUGUGUGGUUUCCGCUAAAGUUUAACCGAUAGUAGAUAGUUGCUAACGUUCCUCAUUUUAAUUAAUUUUUCUGCAUUAUUUCCCUUCUCUAUCAUCACACACAGGAUUUAUAUUAGUAUCUCUUGUUGAUUAAGAAACCGGACUGGACUAGUUCAACCGAUGAAGUGGUUUACUAGAUAGGUUUCAAGUCAAUUCAACCCAAAAUCCUAAAAUCAUCAACGAAUCUGUGAGAAUAGAUCAUAAUGGAGAAUGUUAAAUUUUGAGUUCAAUCUGAAAUAUUUAUCUAGCCAGAUUAAGGUCCAGUGCCCCUGGAAUGAAUUGUUAUUGUUCAGCCUCUUGUGGACGACUUCUCAUCUUCCAGGACAUGAAAUAUGAUCAGUUAUUACUUUCAAUCAUGGUUUCACCAAUAAAUUGGGAAUUAGUGGUAGUACCUUUUGAUUUUUAAAACAUUGGUAUUUUUGUGGAUGAAAUGGAACUAGGUCAUGAAAUCUAACAUUUUGACAUGCUUCUUCGGCAACUGUUGGCUUAUUGUCUUAAUGUACAUUAUGAUGGCACUGGCUAAACGUUGAUGAGAGAUAUGGUGUUAUGCCGUGGAGAACAAGCAUGGUGAAUGCACUGUUAUCAGUUAUUAGUAUUCCUGGUUUAAGGAAUGUUUUUACAACUGAGCAGUGAGCACAUCCGGAUGGCUCGGAACUUCAACUAUAUCUAUAAGAAAACAAUGUACUUGUGUUCUACUCAUUCUUCUUGGUGCGGAGACUGUUGAUGAAUGACUGUGAUGGACGCCCUUGAAAUAGUAUAGUAGAGGUUGCGUUUUGUAUUGUUUUGUUUUGGUUUUAGUUGCUGUUUACAUUUUUAUUGCAGGAUUUCUGCAUCAAAGGCGAAGACAAUGGUUGCUUGUGAGUGGGAAGUCAUCUUGGCAUUUCUUUUGCAGUAUGGUCAAUCAAUUUCUUAAUCCUUAAUUUGCAAGGCAUUGGAAUGCAGUCAUUAACAUUCUAAAGUACAUUAAAAUAUCCUGGCAAAUUGUUGGUUAUAUGGACACACUAGUCAUACUUGAGUCACAGAAUACUUAGAUGCAGAUUGGCAGACUCACCUAUUGACGGGAGAUGCACCUCCGGAUAUUGUGUCUUCAUUCUUAACAACUUGAUCUUCUCGAAAAGCAAGAACUAGAAAGCGGCAAAAUCUAGUGCAAAAGAGAGUAUAGAGUGAUGACUUCUGCAUCUUGUGAACUUAACUGACUCAAACAGUUGUUUGUCACUUCCUGCCACAAAAGAUAAUUUUCAUUUGGAGACAUUACUAUUGGGUCUGUUAAUUUCAAUGAUUAGUUAACAAAUAUCUUCUCUAAAUUGUUGCAAUGCCCUAUGAUUUAUUAUCUAUGUAAUAAACUUGGUGCAUAUGAUUUAUGUGCUUCAAGGGAAGUUUUAAAUGUGUUAAACAAUAUUUUGUAUAUAGGCUUGGGUCCAUCCCUAUGUGAUGACUUGUAUGAUAAUAUGUAUAUAUGUUCCUUAGCUGCCCUAAAAAAA
Long non-coding RNA from Vigna unguiculata (cowpea), 2055 nucleotides. NCBI's taxonomy places the organism in Eukaryota, Viridiplantae, Streptophyta, Magnoliopsida, Fabales, Fabaceae. The record is from RefSeq and is a predicted model, not a curated record.